UUCACAGAAAGAAAUCACACAAACAAAACGUGGCAGAGAAGGAAAUUCCUUCUACGUCUCAUCAGAGCAUCCCGGAUGCUUGUGUUGCUGAAAAUGGUCAAAAGAAGAAGAGAAAAUGGAGACACCUCUGCUGUUCCUCGCAAACUGACAGCGAUGCAGAGGCAGAGAGCAACACUGUGAAGACACAAAAAAGUGUCGCUGGUUUCUUUUUAAAUUCUGGAAGAAAUUACACAAACAAAACGUGGCAGAGAAGGAAAUUCCUUCUACGUCUCAUCAGAGUGUAGCAUGCGGUGGGAAAAAAAUAGAAAGUCAAACUGGGACUAUAGACUGCUUCGGGUUUCCAAACAUCGGAAACACCUGCUACAUGAACUCCUGCCUGCAGAGCCUCCUCAACAUUGAGGAGUUCAUAAGAGACAUCAGGCGUCAGG
Maylandia zebra (zebra mbuna) is the source of this 428-nucleotide non-coding RNA. NCBI's taxonomy places the organism in Eukaryota, Metazoa, Chordata, Actinopteri, Cichliformes, Cichlidae. The record is from RefSeq and is a predicted model, not a curated record.